UGAGGGGGAAGGGCUACUGCCUUAGAGAAAUAAAAGUAAAGCAGAAAUAAUCUAGUGUGCUGCCUACCUAAGUUGGAAAUUCCAAGUCCUGACCCACGUUUACAUCCCAAGGGAGAUGGCUGCCAAUCAAGGGCUCAUCCACUGUUCAUCCAGGGUGAGGGACUUUGGCUUUCCUGAAAAAGUGGUUGACACCAGCCUAAGCGCCAGCGUUCGCCGGUGAGGGGGCUCCGUGGAGAGGGGGGCGGAGUCCCGCGCCGAACGCCGGAAUCCAAAGUAAACACCUCGCCAAACCUACGUUUAGAAAGUGAUACCGAACACCACAUUCACGUUUUAAAAAAAAAUACUGUUUGCUAAGAAGAUGAGAGCAAAACAUUUCCCAGCUGGAAAAUUACUGAUCACAAACCAAGGGGAGAGUGGGGGUGGGGGAGGCAGCGUUAUAAGAUUGAAGUAAAGAUCGCCGUUUCCUAUUCCCUUCCCGGUGGGCAAGGACGCCUGCGGCGGGCUCGGUGUGCACUUUUUGAGAGCUAGGAUCCCACCGCAUCGCUCCACUUCCUGGCACAUGGUCACUUCCCAGGGAAGUCCCUUUAGGGGGGCCUGACCUACCCGGAGCCUGAGCCGAA
RNAcentral lists this long non-coding RNA (620 nucleotides) under Homo sapiens (human). Its description in RNAcentral is "non-protein coding lnc-KLF4-7:1". The record is from RNAcentral. Lineage: Eukaryota; Metazoa; Chordata; Mammalia; Primates; Hominidae.